Molecule: long non-coding RNA, 656 nt
Filed under: Marmota monax (woodchuck)
Lineage: Eukaryota; Metazoa; Chordata; Mammalia; Rodentia; Sciuridae
Source: RNAcentral
UAUGAAGUGCUUUCUCUUGAAAAUAUCACUUCUUUGUUGAGUUGGUUCAAGCAACACUUCCAAAAAAGUGAAUGGCAAAGUUGAACAAAAGAAGUUUUUCUGAUGUCCAUGCAGUAAAAAUCCACUACUAAUUUCAUCAUUGAUGGAUAACCAUCUUAAAUAUUUUAUGUAAGCCAGUAUAACAUUAAAUAACUUAUCUUCUCAGAAGAUCACUAUGCUUAAGUAGGAGAAGAGUUUGGAAGAGUGGUAUAUAUGCAUAGCACAAAAGGACUCAAAUAUUCUAUCAAUUGAUGUUCUAUUUUAAACAAUGGUGUAUAAUACUGAUACUGUGAUAUCAUAAGUGUGCAUCUUCUGGCUUUCCUACAGGUAUACUUUAAUUCACUAGGAACAUACAUUCUUGCUAAUAUUUUGGUAGUGGAAAUAUCAUGAUGAACCCUCUUAGAAACAUUAUGUUUAGUGUAUUCUAUGGCUUUGUCUCAUUUUAAGUUGAGCAUUAAAGGAAUGCAUUAUUUUAGUUUUAACUCUGACAAUAUGUCUAUCUAGUGGCCUAUUGCCAUUUCUGUCUUUAUUGAAAUUUUUGUCCCAAGAAAGUUAGGAUUGUACUUUUUUCCUAACGGGGAAAAAAAAUGUGGGAUGCCAUCUAAAUUAGAGUGGAU